This 58-nucleotide transfer RNA is filed under the name Geocapromys thoracatus. RNAcentral describes it as "partial tRNA-Phe". It matches the Rfam family "tRNA". From Rfam's summary of the family: Transfer RNA (tRNA) molecules are approximately 80 nucleotides in length. Their secondary structure includes four short double-helical elements and three loops (D, anti-codon, and T loops). Lineage: Eukaryota; Metazoa; Chordata; Mammalia; Rodentia; Capromyidae. The record is from RNAcentral.
GUUAAUGUAGCUUAAACAAAGCAAAGCACUGAAAAUGCUUAGAUGAACUCCAUAAACA